RNAcentral lists this ribosomal RNA (387 nucleotides) under uncultured bacterium. Its description in RNAcentral is "bacterial SSU rRNA". It matches the Rfam family "Bacterial small subunit ribosomal RNA", at positions 29 to 417 of the family's 1533-position model. The record is from RNAcentral.
AUUGAACGCUGGCGGCAUGCCUUACACAUGCAAGUCGAACGGCAGCGCGGGAGCAAUCCUGGCGGCGAGUGGCGAACGGGUGAGUAAUAUAUCGGAACGUGCCCAGUAGUGGGGGAUAGCCGGCGAAAGCCGGAUUAAUACCGCAUGAGACCUGAGGGUGAAAGCGGGGGAGUCGCAAGACCUCGCGCUAUUGGAGCGGCCGAUAUCAGAUUAGCUAGUUGGUGGGGUAAAGGCCUACCAAGGCAACGAUCUGUAGUUGGUCUGAGAGGACGACCAGCCACACUGGGACUGAGACACGGCCCAGACUCCUACGGGAGGCAGCAGUGGGGAAUUUUGGACAAUGGGCGCAAGCCUGAUCCAGCAAUGCCGCGUGCAGGAAGAAGGCCU